RNAcentral lists this ribosomal RNA (611 nucleotides) under Pichia kudriavzevii. Its description in RNAcentral is "partial large subunit ribosomal RNA". It matches the Rfam family "Eukaryotic large subunit ribosomal RNA", at positions 35 to 670 of the family's 3401-position model. The record is from RNAcentral. Lineage: Eukaryota; Fungi; Ascomycota; Pichiomycetes; Pichiales; Pichiaceae.
UUUGCAUAUCAAAUAAGCGGAGGAAAAGAAACCAACAGGGAUUGCCCCAGUAGCGGCGAGUGAAGCGGCAAGAGCUCAGAUUUGAAAUCGUGUUUCGGCACGAGUUGUAGAGUGUAGGCGGGAGUCUCUGUGGAGCGCGGUGUCCAAGUCCCUUGGAACAGGGUGCCUGAGAGGGUGAGAGCCCCGUAGGGUGCUGCGCGAAGCUUUUGAGGCCCUGCUGACGAGUCGAGUUGUUUGGGAAUGCAGCUCCAAGCGGGUGGUAAAUUCCAUCUAAGGCUAAAUAUUGGCGAGAGACCGAUAGCGAACAAGUACUGUGAAGGAAAGAUGAAAAGCACUUUGAAAAGAGAGUGAAACAGCACGUGAAAUUGUUGAAAGGGAAGGGUAUUGGGCUCGACAUGGGGGGUGCGCACCGCUGUCUCUUGUAGGCGGCGCUCUGGGCGCCCUCUGGGCCAGCAUCGGUUCCUGCUGCGGGAGAAGGGGCUCCGGAAAGUGGCUCUUCGGAGUGUUAUAGCCGGGGCCAGAUGCCGCGUGUGGGGACCGAGGACUGCGGCUUCUGUCUCGGAUGCUGGCAUAACGGCGCAAUACCGCCCGUCUUGAACCACAGGACCAAA